GCCAGAGGUGCCGAGCGUUAGGCGGAAUCACUGGGCUUAAAGCGUGUGUAGGCGGGCGGGCAAGUACCUUGUGAAAUCCCACGGCUCAACCGUGGAACGGCUGGGUAUACUGCCUGUCUUGAGCCAACUAGGGGCGAGCGGAACAGACGGUGGAGCGGUGAAAUGCGUAGAUAUCGUCUGGAACGCCAAAGGUGAAAACAGCUCGCUGGGGUUGUGCUGACGCUGAGACACGAAAGCCAGGGGAGCGAACGGG
Molecule: ribosomal RNA, 253 nt
Filed under: uncultured bacterium
Lineage: Bacteria
Description: partial 16S ribosomal RNA
Rfam family: Bacterial small subunit ribosomal RNA
Source: RNAcentral